RNAcentral lists this ribosomal RNA (490 nucleotides) under uncultured bacterium. RNAcentral describes it as "partial 16S ribosomal RNA". It matches the Rfam family "Bacterial small subunit ribosomal RNA", at positions 30 to 507 of the family's 1533-position model. The record is from RNAcentral.
AUUGAACGCUGGCGGCAGGCCUAACACAUGCAAGUCGAACGGUAACAGGAAGAAGCUUGCUUCUUUGCUGACGAGUGGCGGACGGGUGAGUAAUGUCUGGGGAACUGCCUGAUGGAGGGGGAUAACUACUGGAAACGGUAGCUAAUACCGCAUAACGUCGCAAGACCAAAGAGGGGGACCUUCGGGCCUCUUGCCAUCGGAUGUGCCCAGAUGGGAUUAGCUAGUAGGUGGGGUAACGGCUCACCUAGGCGACGAUCCCUAGCUGGUCUGAGAGGAUGACCAGCCACACUGGAACUGAGACACGGUCCAGACUCCUACGGGAGGCAGCAGUGGGGAAUAUUGCACAAUGGGCGCAAGCCUGAUGCAGCCAUGCCGCGUGUAUGAAGAAGGCCUUCGGGUUGUAAAGUACUUUCAGCGGGGAGGAAGGGAGUAAAGUUAAUACCCUUGCUCAUUGACGUUACCCGCAGAAGAAGCACCGGCUAACUCCGUG